RNAcentral lists this long non-coding RNA (229 nucleotides) under Elaeis guineensis (African oil palm). RNAcentral describes it as "long non-coding RNA (EGUI_LNC042056)". The record is from RNAcentral. Lineage: Eukaryota; Viridiplantae; Streptophyta; Magnoliopsida; Arecales; Arecaceae.
GAAAUGAGGAGUUAGCUACUCAGAAUAGUCAAUUAGCCAUCCAAAACAGUGAAUUAGCUAUCCAAAAUAGUGAUUUAUCUACUCGUAUUUUUUGUACGGAGGAGUUCAUGCACCUUAUAAUGAAGAAGAUGUAGGUCAAUCCAUCUAUCUUAGUGCAACCUUUGUCUACAGUUCCAAUGCCGUCUCCAACUGCUACCUUUCCAAAUGGUGAUGAUUAUGAUGAUGAUGA